CACCGCUUGAGACUCUUCCAUUGCCCUCUUGAAAGUUUCUUUCCACCUCCGCUCCCACUGAGGUCAAGGAAAAAAGAAAUGAAUGGAGGGCUCACGGGAGCCGCCGCUCGGCGGUCGCUGCGCGGCCUUGAAUUUUUAUUGGCAGGAAGGGGCGAAGGCGCUUUAUGGGGGACCGCAAAUCUGGGCCUUUCCCCUCAAUGAAAGCCCACUGUCAAUAUCCGCCUCAUUCCUCUCAAAGAGCCCCGUCCGUCCGCAGCGCCUCGGCUCGCGCGCUGACCUUUGACCCUCACGCACGAGACUGUCAUUUUUCCGAGCCGGGACCGAGGAUUUCAUCCGACUGCGAUUGUCGCAAAUGCUUUUGCCCAGAACCAUCCGACCACCAUUUCUGAUGAGUGCCACGGAGAAAGCGGCGGGUGCCCCAAAUGUUUUGGCGGUCCCGCCUGAAAAUUCUUUUGGCUUGCCGCCGUUUCCGAUUUUCUUUUGCCGGGAUACCGAUGACAGUUGCGCUCGCGAUCGUUGUCAUUGGAAAUUUUCAGACCGCUUCAUCUCAAAAGAAUGCGCGGCACCUCCAUUUGUCUCGUUCGCCGACGAGCUGUUCUUCAUCCUCGUUACAAAGUCACGGCUGGACUCAUCAACUCCAUUUAA
Molecule: long non-coding RNA, 645 nt
Organism: Hippocampus comes (tiger tail seahorse)
Lineage: Eukaryota; Metazoa; Chordata; Actinopteri; Syngnathiformes; Syngnathidae
Exons: 2
Source: RefSeq, a predicted model, not a curated record